GUGCCAGCAGCUGCGGUAAUACGGAGGGGGCUAGCGUUGUUCGGAAUUACUGGGCGUAAAGCGCGCGCAGGCGGAUUAUUAAGUCGGGGGUGAAAUCCCGGGGCUCAACCCCGGAACUGCCUUCGAUACUGGUAGUCUAGAGUUCUGGAGAGGUGAGUGGAAUUCCGAGUGUAGAGGUGAAAUUCGUAGAUAUUCGGAGGAACACCAGUGGCGAAGGCGACUCACUGGCCAGAUACUGACGCUGAGGUGCGAAAGCGUGGGAGCAAACAGGAUUAGAUACCCUGGUAGUCCACGCCGUAAACGAUGAAUGCCAGUCGUCGGAAAGCAUGCUUUCGGUGACACACCUAACGGAUUAAGCAUUCGCCUGGGAGUACGGUCGCAAGAUUAAACUCAAAGGAAUU
Molecule: ribosomal RNA, 401 nt
Filed under: uncultured Rhodobacter sp.
Lineage: Bacteria; Pseudomonadati; Pseudomonadota; Alphaproteobacteria; Rhodobacterales
Description: bacterial SSU rRNA
Rfam family: Bacterial small subunit ribosomal RNA
Source: RNAcentral